UAAUAGGCGUGUCGACAGUAUUACAUUAUCAAAGAUUUAAUGACUUUAGAGGAAAAUACACAUUCAAAGGAUUUAAAAAACUGAUUUAGUUUUAUUUAAAAAAUUGAGAUUAUUAAGAUUUUCAAUAAAAUAAAAGAGUAAAAUACUGCAAUCGGCCAUUUUGACUGAAACGCCAAUCACAGCGCAUGACGUCAUACUUAUGUACGCUUCACUGUGUUUUGAUUACCUUACAUACUGAUUGCGCGUUACGAUUGAUAUAUAUUUGUUUUUGUGAUUUAUCGACUUUAUAACACGAAUCUAUCUUUAACAAUGGAACCAGGUUUUGUUAAGGUAAACAGUGCAAAUUUGCCCAGGAUCGAUUUAUUGAUGUUGGGCGAGUUCCUUGCAACAAAUAAAGAAUUUUGCUCUUCCGAAUUUAGAAACGUGAAAACCUCUUUAUCAUCAGACCAACGGGUUGGGGGGCGACCGACACGCCGUUUGCCGACACGGGGUCUCCACUCCAGAACCUUUGUACUCCAGCGGUCGUCGGCUCUGCGGGCUACGUGACUAGCUACGUUAUCUUUAACACUAGAUAUAAAUAUGACUAAGUAGCAAUCAAACUCGUUUUAAACUCGUAGAAGUUUAUUUCGCCGAAGAAGUUUGUUUCGUAGAAGUUUGUUUCGCCGUGCAAGCUUUAACCAUUUAUCUCUAAUUAUUUUCUUGUAUGGGACAUGUACAAACACCUUGUUGGGUGUCGUUAUUGAUGUAUUUUUGCACUGAGGCACUGCACACCACUUAUAAACUUUAUAAUUCAUUUUUAACACAAAAAAUACGCAGUGUUUGUUUACUUUGCUGUUGUAAACAAAUUUGACGUACGUAAGUGUGACGUCACACACGACGCCAUGACACGGCGAGCUGUUUUCGCGCAGUAUUUAAAAAUGAUUAUAAAAAUGGCUUUAAAUUUCCAAAAUCUUAAGUUUAUUACCGAAAUAUAGGUUUUGUUGUAAACAAUAGAUGGUUAUCUGCAUUACGGAAGAGGAUUUCAAAAUCUUUCGCCUUGCCUAUUGUCAU
This is a non-coding RNA of Plutella xylostella (diamondback moth), 1050 nucleotides long. The record is from RefSeq and is a predicted model, not a curated record. Lineage: Eukaryota; Metazoa; Arthropoda; Insecta; Lepidoptera; Plutellidae.